GGAGAGUUGCCUGAGUGGUUAAAGGAGCGGUUUGCUAAACCGUGAACGUGUGAGCGUUCCGUGGGUUCGAAUCCCACACUCUCCG
RNAcentral lists this transfer RNA (85 nucleotides) under Bacteroidota bacterium. RNAcentral's name for it is "Bacteroidetes bacterium (hot springs metagenome) tRNA-Ser". It matches the Rfam family "tRNA". From Rfam's summary of the family: Transfer RNA (tRNA) molecules are approximately 80 nucleotides in length. The record is from RNAcentral. Lineage: Bacteria; Pseudomonadati; Bacteroidota.